CACCGGCAGCUCUAGUGGUAGCAGUUUUUAUUGGGCCUAAAGUGUCCGUAGCCGGUUUAAUAAGUCUCUGGUGAAAUCCUGUAGCUUAACUGUGGGAAUUGCUGGAGAUACUAUUAGACUUGAGACCGGGAGAGGUUAGAGGUACUCCCAGGGUAGAGGUGAAAUUCUGUAAUCCUGGGAGGACCGCCUGUUGCGAAGGCGUCUAACUGGAACGGUUCUGACGGUGAGGGACGAAAGUUAGGGGCGCGAACCGGAUUAGAUACCCGGGUAGUCCUAACUGUAAACGACGCGGACUUGGUGUUGGGGUGGCUUUGAGCUGCUCCAGUGCCGAAGGGAAGCUGUUAAGUCCGCCGCCUGGGAAGUACGGUCGCAAGACUGAAACUUAA
Molecule: ribosomal RNA, 386 nt
Filed under: uncultured methanogenic archaeon
Lineage: Archaea; Methanobacteriati; Methanobacteriota
Description: bacterial SSU rRNA
Rfam family: Archaeal small subunit ribosomal RNA
Source: RNAcentral